GAGAAGAAUUGCUGCAGUAUUGAGGAAUGCCUCUCCACAGCUCAUGCAAUGCAUUGUGGGAUACUGGAGGGCCCAGCUCAAGGUUUUCUUCUCUCGCAGAGUGCAUGGCAGCCCAAUUGUAUGGUAGUCAGGUAUGUAUAGAAAGCAUGGAAUCAGACUGAAAUGCAUGGAAUUCCUGGAUGAAUGGUAUCUGAUGGAUUCCUGCAUGCAUGGAAUCAGGCUGAAAAUCUUGCAGAUACUGCAUUAUUGUUUUAAAGAUUUUUUUUUCCUAAUGGACCAACACAGCUACCAGCUUUUGAUUUCUAAAUUAUAAUAUCUGCUCCCUCUCUGAAUUGUGGCAGACAUUUAGAAGCAAUGCUUAUUCCAUUAGGCUCAUCAGUGCUAAUUCUCUGCAAUAAUAUGAAAGAAAUGUAGAAAAUUAGCAUCUUUGGUUGUUGUCUCUUUGUGGUGCAGUAAUAAAAUUCCACUUCCCCCUA
Molecule: long non-coding RNA, 476 nt
Organism: Hemicordylus capensis (graceful crag lizard)
Lineage: Eukaryota; Metazoa; Chordata; Lepidosauria; Squamata; Cordylidae
Exons: 2
Source: RefSeq, a predicted model, not a curated record